GAGAAGUGGUUAGCUUUGGGGAGUGGCUUGUGUCCCUUGACUAAGACCCCCUUGACCAAACUGUCUGUACGCCCCAAUAGAACUCUCCGACAGUCCAUUGAGGAGUGGAAGAACAGGAACAUCAUGAUCACUAUUGCUUCCAUGAAACCUGAGAUACAGUCGAGGGAUGAAGAACAAGUGCUUCCUUCUUUGAAGAAACUUAGUGAAUUAUGUGAGAAAAGUGAGCUGCAUCGGGAAUGGGUGGUUAUGGAGGAUUACAUACCGAUAGUUACAGCUCUUCUUCAUGCUAAAAACAGUGAGAUCAGAUUGCAUGCUUUAGCCAUCCUGUGUUCCCUUGCAAAGGAUAGUGAUGAUAACAAGGUAAGAUUUCAUUCAACUCAUGUUUAUGUCAAAGCUACAUUGAUUUUACUGAUCAAUGACAAAUGCUCACAGCAUUGGAACUUACUUGUGUCAGGAGGCCAUUGCUAAUGUUAAAGACAGCAUCACGUACGUUGUUUACUCGCUUGCACGUAAAGUUGAAGAAAGCAUGUUGGCACUGCAGUUGAUCUUGGAACUUUCGAGAAUUGUGAAUGUAAGGAAUCUCAUUGGAGACGC
Molecule: long non-coding RNA, 594 nt
Filed under: Salvia miltiorrhiza (redroot sage)
Lineage: Eukaryota; Viridiplantae; Streptophyta; Magnoliopsida; Lamiales; Lamiaceae
Description: long non-coding RNA (SMIL_LNC007137)
Source: RNAcentral